GACGAACGCUGGCGGCGCGCCUAACACAUGCAAGUCGAACGGAGAAGCGGAGCUUGCUCUUCGGAACAGUGGCGGACGGGUGAGUAACACGUGAGCAAACUGGCUCUAUGAGGGGGACAACAGUUGGAAACGACUGCUAAUACCGCAUGACGUAUCGGGAUGGCAUCUUCCUGAUAUCAAAGAUUUUAUCGCUUAGAGAUGGGCUCGCGUCUGAUUAGAUAGUUGGCGGGGUAACGGCCCACCAAGUCGACGAUCAGUAGCCGGACUGAGAGGUUGAACGGCCACACUGGGACUGAGACACAGCCCAGACUCCUACGGAAAGGAGCAGUGGGGGAUAUUGGACAAUGGAGGCAACCCUGAUCCAGCGACGCCGCGUGAGGGAAGAAGGUUUUCGGAUUGUAAUCCUCUGUUGACGGAGAAAAAAAUGAUGGUAUCCGUUUAGAAAGCCACGGCUAACUACGUG
RNAcentral lists this ribosomal RNA (463 nucleotides) under uncultured bacterium. Its description in RNAcentral is "partial 16S ribosomal RNA". It matches the Rfam family "Bacterial small subunit ribosomal RNA", at positions 28 to 507 of the family's 1533-position model. The record is from RNAcentral.